GAAGGUACUUAUUAUGUGAAAAGGGGGUACACUGACAUGAUUUGACAAAAAUGCAAUAAGGGGUACACCGGACAAAUUGGAUGCUCCAAAGGGCCGGAUUUGGCCCCCAUGCCAUGAGUUUGACACAUGUGCUUUAGGAUGUCAAAAUGAUUCAAUAGUAAAACUUUAUGAGGGCUUCUUGUUUGUUGCUGCUCAAGCCACCAAAUGCAGGAAAUGACAGAAACAGCUUCAAACGAGCUAGCGUUGGUUAAGCGAAGCGUUUAGCGAGGUGUCUAAUUAGGCAGCCUCGAGCCCUCGGCGACUCCCGCGGCACACAAAGUGCACGAGUGGAGGAAACACUUUAAAUUAAAGGAGCACGCAUUGCCCAAAGACAGUAAUGCUGAAUGUAUUAAUAAGUUGUUUCCUUUGAAUAACAAAUCCUUUGUCAGACACAUGGAAACUCCUUUAAAAGUCAACUUAUUUUCCUUCAACUUUUAGUCAUCGAACACAUGAUAAAUACUUACAGUAAUAAACUCACCUUGUCUGUAACUAAUCAGAAUUGGACGAGAAAGGGUCAGCUCGUGACAUUUUCUCCCAACUCUUAUCAAGUACAAAACUUAGUCACAUUGUACGUUAUUGAGCCCUUAUUUUAGGUAAACAUUGGGUAAACUUGAUCAGGCAGAAAUCUCAUUGUUGUAUUUUUAAAUUAGAUUGACAUUAUGACUUCACAUCUGAUAUUCAGAUUCUUAUUGACACAUAAUAUUGACAUACAGAGAUACAUUUAACUAAACUUUGUUGCAUAUGGCCAUCAUCAUCCUCAGGAGUCCAUUUAAAAGCAAAGGCACAAUUACCACAGUGUACACAGAUAAAAACACCAAUGUUGCACCAACGUUGACACAAAUGCAGAUUUGUCAACAGAAUUUCUUAAUCGACAAAUACAUUUGUGUACAUUAACUUUCUCAUUAGAGCCUGAAAACUCUUGCAUAAGAAAAUAGAGCACUUGCACUGGUCCAUCGAGGCUUCAUUAACUGUAUCCUCAUUCGUUAUUGGCAACUUGCGAGACACUGGGAGGAAGUCGCCAGAUGCCUUAAAGAAACUUUAUUUUUAUUUCAAUUUAAGCCCAUUUUUGCUUAUUUUUACCCUUUCUUUGCAACUACACCAAACUGGCCAUAUUUUAUCCUAUUUUCAACGCUUUCUUAUGAUAUUUUUGCUCUUUUUGAUGCAUUUUUGCUACAUUUUACUCCCAUUUCUGUAAUGUUUCCAUCAAAUUUCAAAGCCUUUUUUCCACUUUCAAGACAUUUCCACCACUUUUCCCACCUAAUGUUGCAUAUGUUGACCCUUUUUUUCACCAUCAUUUUUGCCAUUUUAAUAUUAACACUCGGAACCCUUUUUUACCAAUUUUUCUCUCAGUUUUUGGUCAUUCUAAAUUGCAACUUUAAGACAAUUUCUGUGUUCUUUAAAACACCAUUUCACCACAUUUUCCAUUUUUUGUCACUUUUAACCCAUUUUAUUUCUAAUUAAAACAAGGAUUUACAUCUACCACUUUUCCUGCCUACGGUAUCGUCACAAAUGUUGACCCAUUUUUGUCACUUUUAAGCUUUUUUCACCAUAAUUCAUGCUUAUUUUUGCCAAUUUGACCAGAUUCACGCUUUAUCAUGCCCAUUAUUUGGCAGUUUAAACUACUUGUUCCUACUUUUUCGUCAACGUUCAUGUCUGUGUUCAACCACCUUCAGCUACGGUGGUCAUCCCUGGUCUCUGCCAACAUUAAUUUGGGGGUCUCGGGCAGAAAAGGUGGAGAACCACUGCCCUAAAUAACAGCACCUGCUUAAUGGGAUAAAUGCUCCACAAUAAAAGAAGCCUCAGGGGCCA
Long non-coding RNA from Gouania willdenowi (blunt-snouted clingfish), 1848 nucleotides. Lineage: Eukaryota; Metazoa; Chordata; Actinopteri; Blenniiformes; Gobiesocidae. The record is from Ensembl.